CUUAUUAAUUAAUAAUAACAAAAAAAUAAAAUUAUCUAUUUUAAGUUAUUAAGCUAAAAGAAUUUAUAAUUAAGUUGUAAUAAAUAAUUAUACUUAUUCUAGUAAUUAAGUUCAAUUUAUUAUAAAAUAAAUAACCUGGGGAUGUCAUGGAUUUGACAGGAUAUCUUUAGUACAUAUAAGCAGUAGUGUUGUAGACUAUAAAUACUACUAGGUUUAAAAAAACGCAAAUAAAAACGAAGAAACUUUUGAAAUGCCAGCAUUUAUGAUGAAUAAUGCAUCAGCUGGAGCAAACUUUAUGUUUGCUUAAUAACUACUAGUUUAGUUAUAGUAUUUCACGAAUUAUAGAUAUUUUAAGCUUUAUUUAUAACCGUAUUACCCAAGCUUAAUAGAAUAUAUGAUUGCAAUAAAUAUAUUUGAAAUCUAAUUGCAAAUGAUAUUUAACCUUUAGUUAAUUUUAGUUAAAUAUUUUAAUUAGAAAAUUAACUAAACUGUAGAAAGUAUGUAUUAAUAUAUCUUGGACGCGAGUUCGAUUCUCGCCAUCUCCACCAUUAAGAAAAAUAAUCUGGCUUAGUUGACUAAGCC
This 582-nucleotide unclassified non-coding RNA is filed under the name Mycoplasma capricolum subsp. capricolum ATCC 27343. Its description in RNAcentral is "10Sa RNA". The stretch from base 138 to 548 matches the Rfam family "transfer-messenger RNA". Rfam says of the family: Bacterial tmRNA, also known as 10Sa RNA or SsrA, is named for its dual tRNA and mRNA-like properties. Its role is to liberate the mRNA from a stalled ribosome. To accomplish this part of the tmRNA is used as a reading frame that ends in a translation stop signal. The record is from RNAcentral. Lineage: Bacteria; Bacillati; Mycoplasmatota; Mollicutes; Mycoplasmatales; Mycoplasmataceae.